This 1473-nucleotide long non-coding RNA is filed under the name Homo sapiens (human). RNAcentral's name for it is "HSALNT0307631". Lineage: Eukaryota; Metazoa; Chordata; Mammalia; Primates; Hominidae. The record is from RNAcentral.
CUGGCUCACUCUUGAAUUCCUUCCUGAGUGAAGCCUAAAACCUGCCCUACAUGACUUCUGCUAUACAUUUCAUCUCCGGACUGUUUGUGGCAAAUUGAUUGAAAUUAAGGUUAUUAAAGAACUGGACCCUCCGUUAUGAAACGUCUCAAAGUAGCACUGUAAUUCCUCUCUUACGUAUGGCAACUGGCAAUGUUAAACAUCAGGACUGUCUCCAUAUUGCAUUUUAUGGAUGCAGGCAGAAGACACAAGACUCCUGGGUCAGAGACAAAGGGCAUUAUUUCUCAGGACACAGGAAGCAUCAUGAGCAUCAGUAUGUUUGGGUCAGUUCUCUUCACCUACAAGUCCCACACGGAUGUUGCCGAUGGGGCUAGAUGACAUCUGCACAUUCAAAUAGCGAAGCAUCAGGAGCGUCUGCCAUGUUAUUCAGCUACUCAGCUUUGCUAGUGGCACUGUGGAUUAAAGACCCCCUGCUAACAUUGUAGAUGUUGUGCAAUGUACCAGAGAAAAAGAAAAAGAAAAGAGAAAAUGACUCUUCUUUAAGGAGUAGAUGACUUCCCUGAGAUUUCUAGACACAUAAGUACAAUUGACAAAAACAUGGACAAAUUAUUAACUCUAAAUGUGCAAAAAAAGAGCAUCAAGAAGAGAUACUUCCCCUCAGAGGAGGGAAAGAAAAACACAGAAAUGUGGAGUAAGGAAUGAGGUGACUGAUGUCAGUUGGCAAAGCUGUGAAAAUCUUAACCAAGGAGAGUCAAAAUGCUGCAGCAGAAUUACUAAAUUGUUUGGAAAAGUAAGAGGAUAGUAAAGGAGGAGGCACUGGUCAGGGACAUAACUUACUAGCAGGUUUGAACGUCAACCAUGAAUUUCCUGUUCCUUCAUUUUAUUUCUUCACUGCCAUCUUAUUCUCAUCAUCUCAGCCAUACCCAGGAUGCAAGCAAUGAAUUCAGGAAGAAAGAUGAUCUAAUGUUACAAAACAUUAUGAAGCAUCAUCUUAUUCCUGUGAAAUUCUUCUUUCUCGGUAUUUUUGCACUUCUCAGUCCUGUAAGGCAGAAUCAUACAAUUUUCAUUUUGCCUACGAAAUAGUAACAGAUUCCUGACAGUUAGAAUUCUUCCUGACAGAGACAGAAUGUGAUUCAAAGGUUCACAGUGACUGAUUUCUAUGCCAGAAAUGUGUAUCGUAGUCUACCUGAGAAGCAGAUCUACUUGGUAUCAUUUGUAAAGGAUGUAAAAUUUUGCCAGUGAUAAUGGCAGAUUUGUUCAAAGCUGCAGUGUGUCCCUUUUGCGUGUUAUGAUGGAAAUAACUACUACAGUCUACAAAGCAGGAUUCUAGGCGUGCUCCAUACCUUACUGAUUUUGUGGUAUUUUGCAGGCUCAUUUAAAAUAGCUAGUCAGGAAAAGUAUAUAAAAAUAUCCAAAAAUAAACUGUAAACCUUAUAUGAAUAAAAGCAUGUACACAAUUCUUAUUGCAGAUUUAUU